Molecule: unclassified non-coding RNA, 1613 nt
Filed under: Hevea brasiliensis (rubber tree)
Lineage: Eukaryota; Viridiplantae; Streptophyta; Magnoliopsida; Malpighiales; Euphorbiaceae
Source: RNAcentral
AAGGAAACCUAUCCAGGGAAAAAGCACAAGGGAGAAGUAAUUAGUAAUUUAUCUGUGACGAGGUCAACCAUUUGUAAAAUGUGUAAUGGAUGUUAACUUCAUUAAGGAAUUCUGGCGUAUGUGCCAAAAAGUAAUGCAUUUCAAGUUUCAAACUAAUGCAUGAAAGAUGUGUGAAUCCAAACUUCCCAUCUUAUUUUGAAUGCAAGGAAUAACAUUGCCAAUCCAAGAUGUUGAAAAGAACGUACUCAUAAGGGAUAAUUAAAGCCUUGUACAAGUUGAGUGCUCUCGCAACCUCCUAACCACAUCAGGAAACUUAAAAGACAACCUAAAAAUUACUUUAGAUUAUCAAUACCAGCAGAAAUUGACUGCUGAUUUGCUAAAUUCAAAAUCCCCCUCCAUAUAACAGACAUGAUCACACAAUGCACAGCAGUGAAAUUACCAGAAAUAUCAUGCAUACUUAAAGUAAAUUACUGAACUAUCGUUUCUUUGCUCCAUAUUAAUCAAUGAAACAAUCUUUACAAAUCAGACAAACUCACACGCCGUUUGCCCUACAGGAAUUUCUAUAUUGAGACCUUCCAUUAAUACAACAGUACAAAAAAAAAGUUCCUAAAAUUCUCUACUGAUCUCUCUCUAGCUUAACUCUGUAUGCUUCAUUAAUGUACAUGUGGGGGCUCACCCCGUUUCGUGAAUGAUCAAAACACCCAGUAGUACCGUAUGAAAUAUGGUCAGUCCUAAGCAUACCCAAAAGCCAUCUCAACCUGGAAAAUGCCCCCACUACACAAAUAUGAUCGGUCGGUGAGCCUGAGCAGUUUUGGGUGAAGUACUAGGCUACUACCUGCUGAUAUUAUGUUUUGGAAGUGGAAAGCUGUACUGGAAAGAAAAAAGGAAACAUAGUAACAACCACACUUAAUUAUCCCCAAUGCCAAGGCCCAAAAUCCUAGCAAAAGGAGCAAGAGGUCAAUCAUUGUACCAAGAAGACAUCCAAAAAAGAAGUGCACAUCCCAGUAAGAGUGAAAAGCGGCUGGUCUGUGAAUGCAUUCAUGAAUUGAUAAAUAAGUUGUCCCAAUGGCCAAAUUCUCCAUAUCUGGAAGAUGACAGCAGGCAGAAACAUUGAAACAGCCAUCAGAUGGUAGUGCUUCUGAAGAAGAAUCCUCUCAAUCUUACUACUCCUUGAAAUGUUGUAAAAUCACAGAUACCCAAUAGAUGCACAAGGAAAGUCUUUUAACUGGCUCACGAUCAAUGGGCAUUGCAGUGUGAAACAACCUCCAUCUCUGUCAAGAUGUUAAAGACGUUGAACCACAAAAGCUUCCCAAUUCCCGUGCAGCAACAAUCUUCCCUAAAAAGGGAAAGAAAAUUACCGAGGGAAUCCAAAUGUCAAGAAAUGUCAUGCCAAGCAUGGAUUCAGCAUAAUAGUGGAUGAACUUGAAAAUCUUGCACAAACUGCAUCCAUGAAGGGAUGAUAACAACCAUGAUAAGACCAUGGGAAGCAAAAAAUAAAAAGGCUUUUUCCCUAUGAGUCCCUGCUGCUGAGAUUGUUGCACCGAACAAGCAAUCCCAUUUGUGUAGCAAAAAAUUAAAGACAACUGGGAAGAGAAGAAGACCAAGAAGUAGAC